RNAcentral lists this ribosomal RNA (381 nucleotides) under uncultured bacterium. Its description in RNAcentral is "bacterial SSU rRNA". It matches the Rfam family "Bacterial small subunit ribosomal RNA", at positions 790 to 1167 of the family's 1533-position model. The record is from RNAcentral.
GUAGUCCACGCCCUAAACGAUGGAUGCUAGACGUAAGAGGUAUCGACCCCUCUUGUGUCGCAGCUAACGCAUUAAGCAUCCCGCCUGGGGAGUACGGCCGCAAGGUUGAAACUCAAAUGAAUUGACGGGGACCCGCACAAGCGGUGGAGCAUGUGGAUUAAUUCGAUACUAACCGAAGAACCUUACCCAGGUUUGACAUCGAUCGAAAGCCUAAGAGAUUAGGCCCUGAACCACAAGUUCACGUGAAGACAGAUGUUGCAUGGCUGUCGUCAGCUCGUGCCGUGAGGUGUACGGUUAAGUCCGCCAACGAGCGCAACCCUCGUCUUGUGUUACCAGCGAGUAAUGUCGGGGACUCACAAGAGACCGCCGGUGUAAGCCGGA